Molecule: non-coding RNA, 99 nt
Organism: Chloroflexi bacterium OLB15
Lineage: Bacteria; Bacillati; Chloroflexota
Source: Rfam
GGUCGGGUCCUGCGCGGCAGGGCGUCCGAACCGUGUCAGGACCGGAAGGUAGCAGCACUAAGGAUUCAACCCUGGGUGCCGCAGGCUAGCCCGGCUUGA